AUGCCAUUUUGGCUCCUCGGUUAUUUGGGAGGUGGUAGGAGACAGUCCUGUCACUGCCUGUGUCACUGGCACCCCUCAGUGACUGCCUUCUGUCGCGGUGUGCUGAGGUUUGCACUCACACAGGAUCACAGCCAUGCAGCACAGCUCAGCCUGGGCGCACCCAUGGAGCUCGGGAUGGAGCAUUCGGGAAUGCCGGAGGAUAGACAAGGGACAAUAAACAGUGGCAUCUUGCAGCUGACAUGCACCUGCUUUUAAUUAGUCUGAUGACGGGAUGCGCAGAGCAGCAGAGAAGAGUGCACCCGAGUCCCUGGAGCCAGACACGAAGCAGCAGCCAGCUACACACCCAUCUCAGCUCCGGAUGGACAGGGGUGAAACCUGUUCCACUCCUGCUCCCACCAGGACUCUGGACUCCCCUUUCUGCAUUUCCAAGGGGUUGAAAUCUCCAUCAAAGCAAGAGAUGCUCUAAUGAGCUACUGUUUUGUUUUCUGGAUUAUUUUUUCAACAUUUUUUUCUGGAGAGAGUUUAAAUUCUGCAGGAUCCACUACUUUCAACAGCAUCCCUUUGGGCAACACAUUCAGGCAUUUGUUUCAGCAGGAGAUGCCCCAGCUGGAGAAAAUUUCAAGAGGAAAAGAAAAAAACUCUAACAUCAAGCAAGCAGCAAAAUGGCAUGCAAUAAAUAACAGCAAGAAGAAGAAAUCA
Molecule: long non-coding RNA, 699 nt
Filed under: Anas platyrhynchos platyrhynchos (common mallard)
Lineage: Eukaryota; Metazoa; Chordata; Aves; Anseriformes; Anatidae
Description: lncRNA (ENSAPLG00000021784.1)
Source: RNAcentral